CUGCGGAAGGAUCAUUGUGGAAUUUUAUUUGAACCGUUGUGAAGUUGUAUAAAUACCUUUCGAAACCUUGGUUUUUGUUUCGCCGCUGUUUCGAUGGGUUCCAUUUGCUACCUUCAUCUCGCCAAAUUGGAAGUGAGAAGUCGAGUAGAAAUUAAAGAACGGUGCGGUUUGCACCAAGGACAAUUGUUGGAGUGUGUUGCCAUCAUUUUGAUGUGUUUAUUACUCUAUAGGUAUAUGAUUUCGAAUGACUCCUGGCAAUGGAUAUCUUGGCUCUCGUAUCGAAGAAGAACGUAGCAAAAUGCGACACUUGGUGUGAAUUGCAGAAUCCCGUGAACCAUCGAGUCUUUGAAUGCAAGUUGCGCUCGAGGCCAUUAGGUCGAGGGCAUGUCUGUCUGGGUGUCAUGUUAUGCAUCAUUCUUUCCCUCCAUCAAGUAUGAACCUACCGUGGGUAACAAUGGAUGUGGAGAUUGACCCUCUGUGCUUUAGUUGUGCGGUUGGUUUAAGUGAAUGUUGUUGCUAGGUUUUUGCACAGCAAUUGGUGGAUCGAGUUAGCACACGAUGUCAUUAACUGUGUCCACGAGUCCAUGGCAAGAUGUAACAUUAUUUGAAAUCAUUUUUGGAGUUUGCGUUGGUCGUAAGCUCGGACCUUGAUCUCAGAUCAGACGGGGCCACCCGCUGAGUUUAAGCAUA
Molecule: ribosomal RNA, 690 nt
Filed under: Allium anisopodium
Lineage: Eukaryota; Viridiplantae; Streptophyta; Magnoliopsida; Asparagales; Amaryllidaceae
Description: eukaryotic LSU rRNA
Rfam family: 5.8S ribosomal RNA (bases 247-402)
Source: RNAcentral